Molecule: ribosomal RNA, 467 nt
Filed under: uncultured bacterium
Lineage: Bacteria
Description: partial 16S ribosomal RNA
Rfam family: Bacterial small subunit ribosomal RNA
Source: RNAcentral
GAUGAACGCUGACAGAAUGCUUAACACAUGCAAGUCAACUUGAAUUUGGGUUUUUAACUUAGGUUUGGGUGGCGGACGGGUGAGUAACGCGUAAAGAACUUGCCUCACAGCUAGGGACAACAUUUGGAAACAAAUGCUAAUACCUAAUAUUAUGAUAAUAGGGCAUCCUAUAAUUAUGAAAGCUAUAAGCGCUGUGAGAGAGCUUUGCGUCCCAUUAGCUAGUUGGAGAGGUAACGGCUCACCAAGGCGAUGAUGGGUAGCCGGCCUGAGAGGGUGAUCGGCCACAAGGGGACUGAGACACGGCCCUUACUCCUACGGGAGGCAACAGUGGGGAAUAUUGGACAAUGGACCAAGAGUCUGAUCCAGCAAUUCUGUGUGCACGAUGAAGUUUUUCGGAAUGUAAAGUGCUUUCAGUUGGGAAGAAAGAAAUGACGGUACCAACAGAAGAAGUGGCGGCUAAAUACGUG